AUGCCGCCCAAAUCCAAGGCCGCCGCCGCCGCCGCCGCGGAGCCGGUCUCCGUGGAGGACCUCUUCGCGGCGCUCCACCGCCACAUCGAGGCCGGCGAGUUCCCCCAGGCCGUCAAGGUCGCCGACCAAGUUCUCGCGGCGUCUCCGGGCGACGAGGACGCGGUGCGAUGCAAGGUUGUGGCGCACAUCAAGUCCGACGCGACGGACAAGGCGCUCGCGGCCAUCCGCGCCGCCGAGCGCCUCCCCAUCGAUCUCAGUUACUACAAGGCAUACUGCUACUACAGGCAAAACAAAUUGCAAGAAGCUCUGGAUAUAUUGAAUGGUCAAGAAGAAACAGCUGCUGUUCUCCAGCUGGAAUCCCAGAUCUAUUACCGAUUAGGAAGAAUGAAUGAUUGCAUGAGUAGCUAUGAGAAGCUCCAGAAGUUCAAGGUUGACUCAAUAGAUCUAAAGAUAAAUAUCAUCGCUGCUCUAGUUGCUGGUGGAAGGGCUCCUGAAGUUCAGGCAGCCAUGAAGGCGCAAAAGGUUGAUCUUACCACUAGAGCACUCAGAGAUACUAGGAGCUUCGAGCUUGCAUAUAAUUCAGCUUGCACCUUGAUAGAAAAUAAGAAGUAUUCAGAAGCUAAAGAGCAGCUGGACUUGGCGAAAAGAAUCGGGAAAGAGGAGCUUAUGGUGGAAGAUUACGCAGAAGAUGAGAUUGAAUAUGAAUUAGCUCCUGUAUCUGUUCAACUUGCUUAUGUACAGCAGCUACAAGGACAGACUCAAGAAGCCAUGGAAACCUAUGCCAAUAUGAUAAACAAGAAAUCAGGAGACCCCUCAUCACUUGCCGUGGCAACAGCCAACCUUAUUUCAGUAAAAGGUACAAAGGAUGUUGCUGAUGGCCUGAGGAAGCUUGACCGGCUUGUCGAGAAGUCGACAGCGCCGAACCAGUUGCAACUGAUCGAGAGCCUUGAAUUCAAGUUAUCUUCAAGGCAAAAAGAAGCCCUGUACUCUGCUCGUGUUCUUUUGCUCCUCCAUGCAAAUAAAAUUGAUCAGGCACAAGAGUUGGUAAGUGGGCUGCUUGCUACGUUUCGAGACAAUGUGUUCCCUGUUUUACUUCAAGCUGCAGUUCAUGUGAGAGAAAAGAAGGUCCCGAAAGCUGAAGAGGUUCUAAGUCGGUAUGCUGAGAAGCAUCCUGAUAAUUCUACAGGAGUCCUUGCACUCGCCCAGAUUGCUGCCAAUGCCAACCAUUUUCAGAUUGCUGCUGAUUCGCUAUCUAAGAUAUCUGACAUCCAGCACAUGCCUGCAACGGUUGCUACACUGGUAGCUCUAAAAGAGCGUCUAAAUGACUCUAAUGGUGCUGCUUCUGUUCUUGAUUCUGCUAUCAAGUGGUGGAAAAACGCCAUGACUGAAGAUAACAAGUUGGAUAUGUUCAUGCGGGAGGCUGCUACAUUUAAGCUCAACCAUGGGCGUGAUAAAGAGGCCUGUCAGCUGUACGAGGAACUUGUGAAGAGCUAUGGAAGCACCGAAGCGUUGUCUGGGCUAGUAGCAACGUCCGCACGCACUGACCUUGCGAAAGCUGAGCAAUAUGAGAAGCAGCUGAAACCGUUGCCGGGUCUUCAGGGAAUUGACGUAAAGAGCCUGGAGAAGACAUCUGGUGCAAGGCAUGUAGAGCAAGCCAUGAAGGUUGAUGCUCCCGAGGAAGUGAAGAAGCAAAAGGCUAAGAAGAGGAAGAGGAAGCCUAAAUAUCCGAAAGGAUAUGAUCCAGCGAACCCAGGGCCACCCCCAGAUCCCGAGAGAUGGCUGCCCAAGAGGGAGAGGUCGACCUACCGUCCGAAGAGGAAGGAUAAGAGGGCUCAGGUCAGAGGUGCUCAAGGCUCUGUGAGUAGAGAGAAGCAUGAUGCAUCUGCUGCCAAUGCCGGCGCCACCUCUUCAAAACCCACCACCUCGGCCAAGGCUCCAGAACCACCAAAGGGCUCCAACAAGUCCCGGAAGAAAAAGUCGAGGUCUUAG
RNAcentral lists this ribosomal RNA (1989 nucleotides) under Triticum aestivum (bread wheat). Its description in RNAcentral is "partial small subunit ribosomal RNA". The record is from RNAcentral. Lineage: Eukaryota; Viridiplantae; Streptophyta; Magnoliopsida; Poales; Poaceae.